This 757-nucleotide ribosomal RNA is filed under the name Trichoderma viride. RNAcentral describes it as "eukaryotic LSU rRNA". The stretch from base 506 to 757 matches the Rfam family "Eukaryotic large subunit ribosomal RNA", at positions 1 to 255 of the family's 3401-position model. The record is from RNAcentral. Lineage: Eukaryota; Fungi; Ascomycota; Sordariomycetes; Hypocreales; Hypocreaceae.
UCCCAAACCCAAUGUGAACCAUACCAAACUGUUGCCUCGGCGGGGUCACGCCCCGGGUGCGUCGCAGCCCCGGAACCAGGCGCCCGCCGGAGGGACCAACCAAACUCUUUUCUGUAGUCCCCUCGCGGACGUUAUUUCUUACAGCUCUGAGCAAAAAUUCAAAAUGAAUCAAAACUUUCAACAACGGAUCUCUUGGUUCUGGCAUCGAUGAAGAACGCAGCGAAAUGCGAUAAGUAAUGUGAAUUGCAGAUCAGUGAAUCAUCGAAUCUGUGAACGCACAUUGCGCCCGCCAGUAUUCUGGCGGGCAUGCCUGUCCGAGCGUCAUUUCAACCCUCGAACCCCUCCGGAGGGUCGGCGUUGGGGACCUCGGGAGCCCCUAAGACGGGAUCCCGGCCCCGAAAUACAGUGGCGGUCUCGCCGCAGCCUCUCCUGCGCAGUAGUUUGCACAACUCGCACCGGGAGCGCGGCGCGUCCACGUCCGUAAAACACCCAACUUCUGAAAUGUUGACCUCGGAUUAGGUAGGAAUACCCGCUGAACUUAAGCAUAUCAAUAAGCGGAGGAAAAGAAACCAACAGGGAUUGCCCCAGUAACGGCGAGUGAAGCGGCAACAGCUCAAAUUUGAAAUCUGGCCCCUAGGGUCCGAGUUGUAAUUUGUAGAGGAUGCUUUUGGUGAGGUGCCGCCCGAGUUCCCUGGAACGGGACGCCGCAGAGGGUGAGAGCCCCGUCUGGCUGGCCACCGAGCCUCUGUAAAGCUCC